Molecule: ribosomal RNA, 3005 nt
Filed under: Campylobacter jejuni
Lineage: Bacteria; Pseudomonadati; Campylobacterota; Epsilonproteobacteria; Campylobacterales; Campylobacteraceae
Description: 23S ribosomal RNA
Rfam family: Bacterial large subunit ribosomal RNA
Source: RNAcentral
AAAAAAGGUAAGCUACUAAGAGCGAAUGGUGGAUGCCUUGACUGGUAAAGGCGAUGAAGGACGUACUAGACUGCGAUAAGCUACGGGGAGCUGUCAAGAAGCUUUGAUCCGUAGAUUUCCGAAUGGGGCAACCCAAUGUAUAGAGAUAUACAUUACCUAUAUAGGAGCGAACGAGGGGAAUUGAAACAUCUUAGUACCCUCAGGAAAAGAAAUCAAUAGAGAUUGCGUCAGUAGCGGCGAGCGAAAGCGCAAGAGGGCAAACCCAGUGCUUGCACUGGGGGUUGUAGGACUGCAAUGUGCAAGAGGUAAGUUUAGCAGAACAUUCUGGAAAGUAUAACCAUAGAGGGUGAUAGUCCCGUAUGCGAAAAACAAACCUUAGCUAGCAGUAUCCUGAGUAGGGCGGGACACGAGGAAUCCUGUCUGAAUCCGGGUCGACCACGAUCCAACCCUAAAUACUAAUACCAGAUCGAUAGUGCACAAGUACCGUGAGGGAAAGGUGAAAAGAACUGAGGUGAUCAGAGUGAAAUAGAACCUGAAACCAUUUGCUUACAAUCAUUCAGAGCCCUAUGUAGCAAUACAGGGUGAUGGACUGCCUUUUGCAUAAUGAGCCUGCGAGUUGUGGUGUCUGGCAAGGUUAAGCAAACGCGAAGCCGUAGCGAAAGCGAGUCUGAAUAGGGCGCUUAGUCAGAUGCUGCAGACCCGAAACGAAGUGAUCUAUCCAUGAGCAAGUUGAAGCUAGUGUAAGAACUAGUGGAGGACUGAACCCAUAGGCGUUGAAAAGCCCCGGGAUGACUUGUGGAUAGGGGUGAAAGGCCAAUCAAACUUCGUGAUAGCUGGUUCUCUCCGAAAUAUAUUUAGGUAUAGCGUUGUGUCGUAAUAUAAGGGGGUAGAGCACUGAAUGGGCUAGGGCAUACACCAAUGUACCAAACCCUAUCAAACUCCGAAUACCUUAUAUGUAAUCACAGCAGUCAGGCGGCGAGUGAUAAAAUCCGUCGUCAAGAGGGAAACAACCCAGACUACCAGCUAAGGUCCCUAAAUCUUACUUAAGUGGAAAACGAUGUGAAGCAGCCAUCCUUUAAAGAAAGCGUAAUAGCUCACUGGUCUAGUGAUUUUGCGCGGAAAAUAUAACGGGGCUAAAGUAAGUACCGAAGCUGUAGACUUGCACACAACUUAGAUUAUUUAAGUUUAGAAUAUGAGAAACUAAGUUAUAUGUUUAGUUAUAUUUUUACUGAUUUUUAUAGAGUAAAGAUAGAAAUAAAACUUAGUAAAAUCAGUAAAAAUAUUAAGUGGUAGGAGAGCGUUCUAUUUGCGUCGAAGGUAUACCGGUAAGGAGUGCUGGAGCGAAUAGAAGUGAGCAUGCAGGCAUGAGUAGCGAUAAUUAAUGUGAGAAUCAUUAACGCCGUAAACCCAAGGUUUCCUACGCGAUGCUCGUCAUCGUAGGGUUAGUCGGGUCCUAAGUCGAGUCCGAAAGGGGUAGACGAUGGCAAAUUGGUUAAUAUUCCAAUACCAACAUUAGUGUGCGAUGGAAGGACGCUUAGGGCUAAGGGGGCUAGCGGAUGGAAGUGCUAGUCUAAGGUCGUAGGAGGUUGUACAGGCAAAUCCGUAUAACAAUACUUCGAGAACUGAAAGGCUUUUUGAAGUCUUCGGAUGGAUAGAAGAACCCCUGAUGCCGUCGAGCCAAGAAAAGUUUCUAAGUUUAGCUAAUGUUGCCCGUACCGUAAACCGACACAGGUGGGUGGGAUGAGUAUUCUAAGGCGCGUGGAAGAACUCUCUUUAAGGAACUCUGCAAAAUAGCACCGUAUCUUCGGUAUAAGGUGUGGUUAGCUUUGUAUUAGGAUUUACUCCGAAAGCAAGGAAACUUACAACAAAGAGUCCCUCCCGACUGUUUACCAAAAACACAGCACUCUGCUAACUCGUAAGAGGAUGUAUAGGGUGUGACGCCUGCCCGGUGCUCGAAGGUUAAUUGAUGGGGUUAGCAUUAGCGAAGCUCUUGAUCGAAGCCCGAGUAAACGGCGGCCGUAACUAUAACGGUCCUAAGGUAGCGAAAUUCCUUGUCGGUUAAAUACCGACCUGCAUGAAUGGCGUAACGAGAUGGGAGCUGUCUCAAAGAGGGAUCCAGUGAAAUUGUAGUGGAGGUGAAAAUUCCUCCUACCCGCGGCAAGACGGAAAGACCCCGUGGACCUUUACUACAGCUUGACACUGCUACUUGGAUAAGAAUGUGCAGGAUAGGUGGGAGGCUUUGAGUAUAUGACGCCAGUUGUAUAUGAGCCAUUGUUGAGAUACCACUCUUUCUUAUUUGGGUAGCUAACCAGCUUGAGUUAUCCUCAAGUGGGACAAUGUCUGGUGGGUAGUUUGACUGGGGCGGUCGCCUCCCAAAUAAUAACGGAGGCUUACAAAGGUUGGCUCAGAACGGUUGGAAAUCGUUCGUAGAGUAUAAAGGUAUAAGCCAGCUUAACUGCAAGACAUACAAGUCAAGCAGAGACGAAAGUCGGUCUUAGUGAUCCGGUGGUUCUGUGUGGAAGGGCCAUCGCUCAAAGGAUAAAAGGUACCCCGGGGAUAACAGGCUGAUCUCCCCCAAGAGCUCACAUCGACGGGGAGGUUUGGCACCUCGAUGUCGGCUCAUCGCAUCCUGGGGCUGGAGCAGGUCCCAAGGGUAUGGCUGUUCGCCAUUUAAAGCGGUACGCGAGCUGGGUUCAGAACGUCGUGAGACAGUUCGGUCCCUAUCUGCCGUGGGCGUAAGAAGAUUGAAGAGAUUUGACCCUAGUACGAGAGGACCGGGUUGAACAAACCACUGGUGUAGCUGUUGUUCUGCCAAGAGCAUCGCAGCGUAGCUAAGUUUGGAAAGGAUAAACGCUGAAAGCAUCUAAGCGUGAAGCCAACUCUAAGAUGAAUCUUCUCUAAGCUCUCUAGAAGACUACUAGUUUGAUAGGCUGGGUGUGUAAUGGAUGAAAGUCCUUUAGCUGACCAGUACUAAUAGAGCGUUUGGCUUAUCUUUAAUAAAGCAU